RNAcentral lists this ribosomal RNA (119 nucleotides) under Oncorhynchus mykiss (rainbow trout). The record is from RNAcentral. Lineage: Eukaryota; Metazoa; Chordata; Actinopteri; Salmoniformes; Salmonidae.
GCUUACGGCCACACCGGCCUGAGUACGCCUGAUCUCGUCCGAUCUCGGAAGCUAAGCAGGGUCGGGCCUGGUUAGUACUUGGAUGGAAGACCGCCUGGGAAUACCAGGUGCUGUAAGCU